GAUGAACGCUGGCGGCGUGCUUAACACAUGCAAGUCGAACGAAACACCUUAUUUUAUUUUCUUCGGAACUGAAGAUUUGGUGAUUGAGUGGCGGACGGGUGAGUAACGCGUGGGUAACCUGCCCUGUACAGGGGGAUAACAGUCAGAAAUGACUGCUAAUACCGCAUAAGACCACAGCACCGCAUGGUGCAGGGGUAAAAACUCCGGUGGUACAGGAUGGACCCGCGUCUGAUUAGCUGGUUGGUGAGGUAACGGCUCACCAAGGCGACGAUCAGUAGCCGGCUUGAGAGAGUGAACGGCCACAUUGGGACUGAGACACGGCCCAAACUCCUACGGGAGGCAGCAGUGGGGAAUAUUGCACAAUGGGGGAAACCCUGAUGCAGCGACGCCGCGUGAGUGAAGAAGUAUUUCGGUAUGUAAAGCUCUAUCAGCAGGGAAGAAAAUGACGGUACCUGACUAAGAAGCCCCGGCUAACUACGUG
RNAcentral lists this ribosomal RNA (481 nucleotides) under uncultured bacterium. RNAcentral's name for it is "partial 16S ribosomal RNA". It matches the Rfam family "Bacterial small subunit ribosomal RNA", at positions 28 to 507 of the family's 1533-position model. The record is from RNAcentral.